AUGAACGCUAGCGACAGGCUUAACACAUGCAAGUCGAGGGGUAACAGGGUAGCAAUACCGCUGACGACCGGCGCACGGGUGAGUAACGCGUAUGCAACCUGCCUAUAACUGUGGAAUAGCUCCCUGAAAGGGGAAUUAACACCGCAUAACACUAUUGAUUCGCAUGGAUUGGUAGUUAAAUGUAGCGAUACAGGUUAUAGAUGGGCAUGCGUGACAUUAGCUAGUUGGUGAGGUAACGGCUCACCAAGGCUACGAUGUCUAGGGGUUCUGAGAGGAAGGUCCCCCACACUGGUACUGAGACACGGACCAGACUCCUACGGGAGGCAGCAGUGAGGAAUAUUGGUCAAUGGGCGCAAGCCUGAACCAGCCAUGUCGCGUGCAGGAAGACUCGCCCUAUGGGUUGUAAACUGCUUUUAUAGUAGAAGAAACACAUCUACGUGUAGAUGUCUGCCAGUAUACUAUGAAUAAGCAUCGGCUAACUCCGUGCCAGCCGCAGC
RNAcentral lists this ribosomal RNA (497 nucleotides) under uncultured bacterium. RNAcentral describes it as "bacterial SSU rRNA". It matches the Rfam family "Bacterial small subunit ribosomal RNA", at positions 29 to 518 of the family's 1533-position model. The record is from RNAcentral.